AUGGGCGUCAGGGGUAGGGAUGACAAUCAAAUGAUGAUGUUCCGAGAGUGCCUAGAUGAGUGUGGGCUAAUAGAUUUGGGGUAUAUUGGUCCUAAAUAUACAUGGUCCAAUAGGCAGGAGGAUGGGCGUAAUGUCAGGCUGAGACUUGACAGGGCAGUUGCAAAUGGUGAUUUCCUACAACUUUUUGAUGACUGCACUGUAGAGAACAUUAUUACAACAUCAUCUGAUCAUCUUGCCAUAUUAGUGAAGAUAGCAAAUAAAGGUAGACAAGGUGCUAUCAACCAUGUACUUCGAUCCUUUAAAUUCGAAGCUGCAUGGACGAGAGCACCUGAUUAUGUGCAAAUGAUCAACGAAAAUUGGGGAAAACUUAAGGAGGGCCCCCCUUCCCUGAACAAUACUUGGUCUGCUCUAAACAGAUUGUCAACAACCCUUCAAACUUGGACCAGAGAAUCUUUUGGUUCGGUAAAGAAGGAGAUAAAGAAGCUGGAAAAGAAAUUAGCUUCAUUACGAAGGAACAACAUGGCUAUUGGUUAUUCCAGAGAGGAAAAGGAAGUGGAGAAGAAACUUUAUGAGAUGUUUGAAAGAGAAGAAAUCAUGGCCAAGCAACGAUCAAUAAUUGAUUGGCUUCAUGAGGGUGAUCGAAAUACUUCUUUUUUCCAUGCACGCGCUUCUGCAAGAAGAAGAACCAACAAAAUUAAAGCCUUGAGGAGAGUUGAUGGAUCACUGUGUGAAGAUCCUGAGGGUAUCAGGAGUAUGGUACAUGACUUCUAUUCCAAUAUGUUCACCUCUGAACCCUGUGACUCUCUGGAAUUGGUCCUAGAGGCUAUACCAUGCAAGGUAACUGAGGAUAUGAAUGAAGAUCUGUGCAAGGAAUAUACUAAUGAAGAAAUUAGGACUGCAUUAUUCCAGAUGGGUCCAACCAAGGCACCAGGGCCAGAUGGUUUCCCAGCAUUAUUUUAUCAGAUUCAUUGGGAUGUUUUGGCAGAAGAUAUAUGUGCAGCAGUUAAAGGCUUCCUUUUGGGACAGGACAUUCCAGAAGGCUUCUGUGAUUCGCAAAAAGAAGCAUCUGGUCAGCUGAAGGGCAUCCGUAAUGGCAGAAAUGGACCGCCUAUUUCCCAUUUACUGUUCGCCGAUGAUAGUGUGUUCUUCACCAGGGGAGAUAAUAGAAGCACCAAUGCACUUAAAUCGGUACUGCAAAGCUACUGUGAGGGAUCAGGACAGAGGAUAAACCUUCAGAAAUCUUCUAUUUUCUUUGGUUUACACUGUGAUGUACAGAUCAAGGAUUUUGUGAAGCAAACUUUGGGGGUGUAA
This 1311-nucleotide ribosomal RNA is filed under the name Triticum aestivum (bread wheat). RNAcentral's name for it is "partial small subunit ribosomal RNA". The record is from RNAcentral. Lineage: Eukaryota; Viridiplantae; Streptophyta; Magnoliopsida; Poales; Poaceae.